AGCUUUUCCCGCAAAAAGGUGAAAUAGCUAAAUGUUUCUUGAAAUAUUGUUGUAUGCACAUAGUAGUUACGCCAGCGAAAGCAACAGGAUGAAUAUAUUUCUACUACACUCUAAAAUCCUGCGAUAAUUUUAAUCAAUUGCCUUUGAAUUUCAUAAUGAGCGAUACAUAAACAUUUUACAAUGAAAAUAUAAACAGAGCAACUGAAACAGUUCAAAAUACCAUCUCUCUUAACUUUAACGGGUCCCCGUAAAUGCUGUAGAAAUAGGCAAGAACACAGCCCAACAAAGGGGGGAAGAGGUUCACUCAACAGUUUUAAGAAAUUGCUGACUUAGGGAGCAGUAACACUUAAAAGCAACUCACUAAUGAAAGAAGUUAUGCCUCACAAAAAUAUACAACACCUGUAACUCUUGCUGCUUUAAUAGCUCCAUGAGAUCGUCAGAAAUCAGAGCUAGAAUGCGGACGUCACAGAAGGUUGUAGACGAACCUUUACUAUAUAAAAGAAUACCUUGCGAUGGCAAUUGCUGCUUCUUGUACUCGUAUCUUCGAUCAUUAUUAACUUUGAAGGCAAGCAGCAUAACUCGUGCGAUAGUUAAUUUCUGCAGAUAUACACUUUUUUCAACUGACCACAAUAAUCAAAUGUCAUAUCAUUUCACUACCGAUCUAUUUUCUAAAAUACGUACUUAAGUAUUUAGACAAAACGAAAUGCUCAACUGUCUGCAGAAGCGGAAGAUACUGUCGUUGCGAAACACGGACCAUGAGCCUAUCACAAACAAGAUCGCUUACUAUGAACGAGAACAACAAACCAGCUACUGAAAUGAUAGGGAAAUGUGUGUUGCCAAUACUUACAUCGCUAACCAUGGACAGAUUAUGUGCAUGGUUGUAUUCAGUUGCAGAAACUACAAGUGGUCCGGAGCGUGACAUGAGUGCUUUUGUGAUGGCAUUGGAGGCUCUUAACUCUCUUCUUGAACAAUUAUUAACAAGUAGCAUGGCUGUGCACGAGGUUACCAGAUGAGCAGUUUCCAUUCACUAAAAUUGUAAUUUAUUGCUCGGAAAUA
Long non-coding RNA from Anastrepha ludens (Mexican fruit fly), 1056 nucleotides. RefSeq lists it as uncharacterized. Lineage: Eukaryota; Metazoa; Arthropoda; Insecta; Diptera; Tephritidae. The record is from RefSeq and is a predicted model, not a curated record. The transcript is spliced from 4 exons.